This 1785-nucleotide long non-coding RNA is filed under the name Pomacea canaliculata. Its description in RNAcentral is "uncharacterized LOC112569276". The record is from RNAcentral. Lineage: Eukaryota; Metazoa; Mollusca; Gastropoda; Architaenioglossa; Ampullariidae.
AAAGAAAAACAAAGAGGAUGACCUACAUAAAAUGUAAAGUAGAUGUGCAGACAGCUGGGAGAUGACAAAGCACGGAGGUUGCGUGCUCGCGCCUAAUAACUGCACUAAAAACACUUCCGGUUGCUGAGAUGCGCGCGCAGUCGAGCAGGUGAAGGGCUUGCCAGAAACCUGUCAACGGUACACGUGUGUACAGUCGUGACCUCAGGUGACCCCGAUACACACAGCUAACCUUCUCAAAUUAAAAAUAUCCAGCCUGAAGCUGCAGCUGUUUUUUCUCCCUCUCACCAUCAACAUCGCAAUUUGCCUGAAAGACCUUGGUCCCAAGGUGCAGCCGGCUGGAACAACUGCCUGAGACUUGCAGUCAUUGGUUCGAACCUUGUCGUCCACACACAUGAUGGCCAGAUGCGUGGCGCGUGGGUAUAAAGCCUGCGUGGUGCUGGUGCGCAGCUACUUCCCUGCUGCAAGCCACACGGUUCGAGUCCCAGACGCACGCCUGUUGCCGUCCCAGUGUCCACUUGUCUUCCAGCGAGCCACCGCAUCGAAAAUGGCCGACAGAGCUCCCGCCGGCGGACAGAAGAAGGACACAGGGGCCCCUCCUCAACAGAACCCCAAGCAGGGAGGCGAGCAAGCCCCACCCAAGGGGAAGGAGCCAGCAGGUGGGAAACCCGGCCAGCAGAAAGGUGGUAAAAAAUGAUGACAGACUGUAAAAUCACAAAGGAUCUUUUCUUCCCUUCUUCUUCGCCCCAUCCCUUUCAUUUUCCUGCUUAUCGAGUAUACGGCCUGCGACAGAAAAUGCUACUGGAAGGACCAACUGUGAUGGGAAGCAAGAGACUUGCGUGUGCACCUCGGCGAGUUUUGUCUUAUUCUGGUUUGGAUGAUAUCACGUGGUUAACAGAAGAAAACUCAUUGAACCAAUGUUCAGUGGUUCGCCGAUCGCCUUUUGUUUUUUCUUGAACUUCUUGUCUCAGGGCGCUGACUGUUUACAAAACUAACAAGCAGCCUGUGAAAGACCGUGGCCAGACAACAAACAGUACGACUGAGUUAAAGCUUGUUUGUGGAUGAUGUUUUGUCUGUACAUAAUCGGAAGUGCCGUUGAAACAAACAUUCCGAGCAGAUAUAAACAAGAAAGGUAUGAUUAUUUUUGGUCAUGAUUACCGCGACUAUCAACGCUGCCUUAGAUAACAACAAUGCUUUGUUUGAUGAUGCAAAGAUGUACAUCCAGUUGAUGAUGUUAACAUUAAUAUCGAGUGCAUUACAAUACAGAUGUUAUAAUGGAAAGUGGAAAUCUGUAUUUGCCAGAUACCUACUCUCAUCUCGGUGUCUUUACGAGUAUGCUGUUACUUUGCGAUGUAAAUUGCCUGAAAAUAAAUGGUUACGAUGUGGCUAAGAUCCCCAGCAUCUAUAAAAAUUAUACUGCGGCAAUGUACAAAUCAGUUGCCCAUUAAUGUGGAUGUCAUGCUAACCCAUGUUUUUGGUCUGACAAGAAUUAUAGCAGUUAAUUAAGAACUGUUAAAUAGGGUUCUUUAGCCCGCAAUGGUGUUUUCAAGAUCACGAAAGUGCAAGUGGUGGUUGAUGUGUUGUAUUGGUUUCAUUUUGUUCGUUGAUACUAAACAUCUUCUGGAACCUGUCGACUGAAGCGAGAAGACGAGUCUUUCUGUGGCUGUGAGGAGUAUAAUUGUCUGAUGACCAAGCGAAGAUGUGCACAGGUCGAUGACCUUACUUGUAUCAUGUGAGUGCAGUCCCAUUCUGUCCAGGCAGAAAUAAAACUUGAUUUUGUUAAAUCUU